Molecule: small RNA, 98 nt
Filed under: Mycobacterium parmense
Lineage: Bacteria; Bacillati; Actinomycetota; Actinomycetes; Mycobacteriales; Mycobacteriaceae
Description: Mycobacterium sRNA Ms_AS-1
Rfam family: Mycobacterium sRNA Ms_AS-1
Source: Rfam by way of RNAcentral
GUGGGGUUGGGGAUGAAGUGGUUGACCCGGUCCCCGAUCACCGCCCAGGUCCGCUUCCCGUCGCUGAGCAUCUGCACGCCGCGCCGCCUGAACUUCUU